GAUUUGCUUCUCUCACAGUGUGUUGUGUUUUCUGCGAAUCUUGGUGUUCUUGUUCUUGUUCUUCUUCUUCUUCAAUUGAAGAGAGAGAAAGAGAAAAGUUUUAUCCGGCAAAACAAAAUGAGGGAAACAGAGUAGUAUAGAUGCGCCUAAUCGAGCGAGCAGUAUCGACAAUACUAAUAAGCGGUCGUUUUCACUUGCACUCUUCUACUCCUACCAAUCGUUCUUCUCCACAUAUUU
Molecule: long non-coding RNA, 237 nt
Filed under: Cicer arietinum (chickpea)
Lineage: Eukaryota; Viridiplantae; Streptophyta; Magnoliopsida; Fabales; Fabaceae
Description: long non-coding RNA (CARI_LNC000908)
Source: RNAcentral